This 274-nucleotide long non-coding RNA is filed under the name Elaeis guineensis (African oil palm). RNAcentral describes it as "long non-coding RNA (EGUI_LNC024652)". Lineage: Eukaryota; Viridiplantae; Streptophyta; Magnoliopsida; Arecales; Arecaceae. The record is from RNAcentral.
UGCGUCGGUCUAUCCGGAUUGAUCACCAUCCUUAUGAUAAUCCUAUGAUUGAAAGUAUUUAAGAAUUAAAUAUAUGUCUCUAAUUCUCAACACCUUGAGAAUAUGUAUUAAAAGUUAAUUCCAUGGAUAAUUCAAGGACACAUCACAUUUGAAUGAAAAAUAAACUUGCUCUUUUAUUGAUUAUAUCAAUGUAUUAAGUACAAAAUAUAUCCUAAAGUUAUUACAAUGUGUCAGCCAUAUUAGCUUCUAGGACAUACAUCUAACAUCUUGCUCA